This 800-nucleotide ribosomal RNA is filed under the name Hymenobacter sp. DS-5PS-1. RNAcentral's name for it is "bacterial SSU rRNA". It matches the Rfam family "Bacterial small subunit ribosomal RNA", at positions 94 to 895 of the family's 1533-position model. Lineage: Bacteria; Pseudomonadati; Bacteroidota; Cytophagia; Cytophagales; Hymenobacteraceae. The record is from RNAcentral.
AGUGGCGCACGGGUGCGUAACACGUAACUAAUCUACCUACAACUGGGGGAUAGCCCGCCGAAAGGCGGAUUAAUACCGCAUAAUAUCAGGUGGCGGCAUCGUCUCUUGGUUAAAGAUUUAUUGGUUGUAGAUGAGGUUGCGGGUCAUUAGCUAGUUGGUAAGGUAACGGCUUACCAAGGCGACGAUGACUAGGGGAGCUGAGAGGCUGGUCCCCCACACGGGCACUGAGAUACGGGCCCGACUCCUACGGGAGGCAGCAGUAGGGAAUAUUGGGCAAUGGGCGAGAGCCUGACCCAGCCAUGCCGCGUGCAGGAAGAAGGCUUUCUGAGUCGUAAACUGCUUUUGACAGGGAAGAAUAAGCUGCUCGUGAGCAGUGAUGACGGUACCUGCAGAAUAAGCACCGGCUAACUCCGUGCCAGCAGCCGCGGUAAUACGGAGGGUGCGAGCGUUGUCCGGAUUUAUUGGGUUUAAAGGGUGCGUAGGCGGCCCCGUAAGUCCGAGGUGAAAGCCCGUUGCUCAACAACGGAACUGCCUUGGAUACUGCGGGGCUUGAGUACAGACGAGGUUGGCGGAAUGGACCGAGUAGCGGUGAAAUGCAUAGAUACGGUCCAGAACCCCGAUUGCGAAGGCAGCUGACUAGGCUGUUACUGACGCUGAGGCACGACAGCGUGGGGAGCGAACAGGAUUAGAUACCCUGGUAGUCCACGCCGUAAACGAUGGAUACUCGCUGCGAGCUAAAGAUUGUUCGUGGCUUAGGGAAACCGAUAAGUAUCCCACCUGGGGAGUACGCCGGCAACGGU